Molecule: ribosomal RNA, 174 nt
Filed under: uncultured bacterium
Lineage: Bacteria
Description: partial 16S ribosomal RNA
Rfam family: Bacterial small subunit ribosomal RNA
Source: RNAcentral
CCUACGGGAGGCAGCAGUGGAGAAUCUUGCACAAUGGGCGCAAGCCUGAUGCAGCCAUGCCGCGUGCGGGAAGAAGGCCUUCGGGUCGUAAACCGCUUUCAGGAGGGAAGAAGCGAAAGUGACGGUACCUCCAGAAGAAGGACCGGCCAACUACGUGCCAGCAGCCGCGGUAAU